AGCAGCCGCGGUAAUUCCAGCUCCAAUAGCGUAUAUUAAAGUUGCUGCAGUUAAAAAGCUCGUAGUUGAAUUUCGGGACUAAUAUGUCGGUCGUGCCUCGGUACGUACUGGCAUCGUUGGUUUCUCCCUUCUGAAAACCUUGAUGUCAUUAAUUUGGUGUCUUGGGGAAUCAGGACUGUUACUUUGAAAAAAUUAGAGUGUUUAAAGUAGGCUCGCGCUUGAAUACAUUAGCAUGGAAUAAUGAAAUAGGACGUUUGAUUCUAUUUUGUUGGUUUCUAGGAUCGACGUAAUGAUUAAUAGGGAUAGUUGGGGGCAUUAGUAUUCAAUUGUCAGAGGUGAAAUUCUUGGAUUUAUUGAAGACUAACUACUGCGAAAGCAUUUGCCAAGGAUGUUUUCAUUAAUCAAGAACGAAAGUUAGGGGAUCGAAGACGAUCAGAUACCGUCGUAGUCUUAACCAUAAACUAUGCCGACUAGGGAUUGGGUGAUGUAAUUUUUAAUGACUCAUUCGGCGCCUUACGGA
RNAcentral lists this ribosomal RNA (520 nucleotides) under uncultured Glomus. RNAcentral describes it as "SSU rRNA". It matches the Rfam family "Eukaryotic small subunit ribosomal RNA", at positions 569 to 1094 of the family's 1831-position model. The record is from RNAcentral. Lineage: Eukaryota; Fungi; Glomeromycota; Glomeromycetes; Glomerales; Glomeraceae.